This 71-nucleotide transfer RNA is filed under the name Marmota monax (woodchuck). RNAcentral describes it as "tRNA.Val". It matches the Rfam family "tRNA". Rfam says of the family: Transfer RNA (tRNA) molecules are approximately 80 nucleotides in length. Their secondary structure includes four short double-helical elements and three loops (D, anti-codon, and T loops). The record is from RNAcentral. Lineage: Eukaryota; Metazoa; Chordata; Mammalia; Rodentia; Sciuridae.
GGGGUUGUGGCUCAGAGGUAGAGCAUUUGCUUUACAUGUAUGAAGCACUGGGUUCGACCCUCAGCACCACA